This is a non-coding RNA of Thamnophis sirtalis, 1175 nucleotides long. Lineage: Eukaryota; Metazoa; Chordata; Lepidosauria; Squamata; Natricidae. The record is from RefSeq and is a predicted model, not a curated record.
UGCCUGCGAACACAUGGCGCUCGAGAGAGAGAGAUUGUGCGUAAGAGAGAGAUAGUAGCAUAGGCAAGGCGAGGGAACAAGAGAAGAAAAAUAAAACCUUAAACGUCAACUUUGGGGAACACAAAGCGGCUGUCAUUUCUCCAAGAGGCGCCUGCCUUCGCCCGCAAAACUAGUAGGAAUGGGGGAAUGAGGAGGUGUGUUAGCGCCUUGAAUCCCAUCCGCUAACUUUGAGGUGGGUAAACUUCUCAAGAAGUUCGGCGCUAGCGUGCUUUAAUAUAUCUAUCUAUCGGCCGAGAGAUCUUUAAGAAAGGAAGGGAGGGAUCGAGGCAAUGCUGCCUUUGGCCACAGAGGGGCAGUCUAUCGAGGAGUUGCCGCGUCCGUGGCGCCUUAUCUCUCUACAGGCAGAGGCUAGGAUAAAGUUAUACCGAAAACUUUAAAAUUGAUAUCACACCCUAAUUUGUGUUCUACAGGGAGGGGGAGAGGAAAAAAAAGACAGAGCUCAAAAACACACCGGGCUCUGCUUACACCAUGAGAAGGGGAGCUCUUGGCGGCGUUGUGGGCUCGCCCUACAUUCAGCGGGGGAGUUCUCGCUGUGUCUUAGCUCUUGCCGGAGGUCAUGCAAAUCGACCUUAAAAGAAUGCAUAAGCCAUAAAUUAAAAUAAACCCCGUAGCCACGGACUGAUCCGUAAGUAGGCAACAAUACCUAACCUGGACAAAACGGCUUUCCUUGCCAGCUGGAAGAAAAGGAUAGCGCCUAAAGUAACCGUAAAAUUAGUUUCAUGAAUUCGAAAGAAACUUGCAGUGACUUCUGGGUGCCUGGAUUUGUUUUCUAGUGUAUUUGCCUCUUAGCUGCCGUCUUGCUAUUUUCAUUUCUGAUGACAACUAUCACGGAGCACUGCUAGAGCUCAGAGUCAGCCUGUGACGGGGCCAGAUCACAAAAAGAAGAAUGUCUUCCAAGCAGGCCACCUCUCCAUUUGCAUCUGAUGGAGAGGGAACAACAAUCCAGGACUUAGCAUCACAGGAGCAGGAAGACGACAACAAUGAAGAACUUGUCACUUCCCAUCUGCCUCUGCACACCAUAUUGCACAACAAACCUCACUCUGAAGAGCUCCCAGCUCUAGUCACUACAAUCCAACCAGACUCAGACUGGAACAGUGUUAUCUCAACUCAGCAUA